RNAcentral lists this ribosomal RNA (227 nucleotides) under uncultured bacterium. RNAcentral's name for it is "partial 16S ribosomal RNA". It matches the Rfam family "Bacterial small subunit ribosomal RNA", at positions 383 to 607 of the family's 1533-position model. The record is from RNAcentral.
CUGAACCAGCCAAGUAGCGUGAAGGAUGAAGGCUCUAUGGGUCGUAAACUUCUUUUAUAUAAGAAUAAAGUGCAGUAUGUAUACUGUUUUGUAUGUAUUAUAUGAAUAAGGAUCGGCUAACUCCGUGCCAGCAGCCGCGGUAAUACGGAGGAUCCGAGCGUUAUCCAGAUUUAUUGGGUUUAAAGGGAGCGUAGGUGGACUGGUAAGUCAGUUGUGAAAGUUUGCGG